Molecule: ribosomal RNA, 468 nt
Filed under: uncultured bacterium
Lineage: Bacteria
Description: partial 16S ribosomal RNA
Rfam family: Bacterial small subunit ribosomal RNA
Source: RNAcentral
GACGAACGCUGGCGGCGUGCUUAACACAUGCAAGUCGAACGGAAAGGCCCUGCUUUUGUGGGGUGCUCGAGUGGCGAACGGGUGAGUAACACGUGAGUAACCUGCCCUUGACUUUGGGAUAACUUCAGGAAACUGGGGCUAAUACCGGAUAGGAGCUCCUGCUGCAUGGUGGGGGUUGGAAAGUUUCGGCGGUUGGGGAUGGACUCGCGGCUUAUCAGCUUGUUGGUGGGGUAGUGGCUUACCAAGGCUUUGACGGGUAGCCGGCCUGAGAGGGUGACCGGCCACAUUGGGACUGAGAUACGGCCCAGACUCCUACGGGAGGCAGCAGUGGAGAAUAUUGCACAAUGGGCGGAAGCCUGAUGCAGCAACGCCGCGUGCGGGAUGACGGCCUUCGGGUUGUAAACCGCUUGCGCCUGUGACGAAGCGUGAGUGACGGUAAUGGGUAAAGAAGCACCGGCUAACUACGUG